RNAcentral lists this ribosomal RNA (259 nucleotides) under uncultured Staphylococcus sp. Its description in RNAcentral is "partial 16S ribosomal RNA". It matches the Rfam family "Bacterial small subunit ribosomal RNA", at positions 103 to 355 of the family's 1533-position model. Lineage: Bacteria; Bacillati; Bacillota; Bacilli; Caryophanales; Staphylococcaceae. The record is from RNAcentral.
CGGGUGAGUAACACGUGGAUAACCUACCUAUAAGACUGGGAUAACUUCGGGAAACCGGAGCUAAUACCGGAUAAUAUAUUGAACCGCAUGGUUCAAUAGUGAAAGACGGUUUUGCUGUCACUUAUAGAUGGAUCCGCGCCGCAUUAGCUAGUUGGUAAGGUAACGGCUUACCAAGGCAGCGAUGCGUAGCCGACCUGAGAGGGUGAUCGGCCACACUGGAACUGAGACACGGUCCAGACUCCUACGGGAGGCAGCAGCU